Long non-coding RNA from Labeo rohita (rohu), 351 nucleotides. RefSeq lists it as uncharacterized. The transcript has 3 exons. The record is from RefSeq and is a predicted model, not a curated record. NCBI's taxonomy places the organism in Eukaryota, Metazoa, Chordata, Actinopteri, Cypriniformes, Cyprinidae.
GUCAUAUUUAGGACAAGUGUUUGUGACAACUGCCUUCUCUGAACAGCGGUCUCAUCAGCACAGGCCUCAGUACAUUGGAGAUUUAAGAGGACACUUCACACCCUACAACCCCUAAAAUAACCCAGAUUUGACAGCACUGCACACCCAUCUCAGGCCUUCCUGUUUCAUUUUGCGAUUACCCCAGAUACUUCUACUACUAACCCGCUUUGUAAGUUCUAAAAAAAAAAAAAAAAAAAAAAAAAAUACACCUUAAACAAACACUUAAUUGUGGGAAAAUGUAAUGUGUAUUUGCUCUUAUAUUACUGAGAUACUUCUAUAAGAUUAUUGUUGAUUAUAUACCUCGUUCACCCA